CACGUAGGGUGCGAGCGUUGUCCGGAUUUAUUGGGCGUAAAGAGCUCGUAGGCGGCUCAGUAAGUCAGGUGUGAAAACUCCAGGCUCAACCUGGAGACGCCAUCUGAUACUGCUGUGGCUAGAGUCCGGUAGGGGAGCAUGGAAUUCCUGGUGUAGCGGUGAAAUGCGCAGAUAUCAGGAGGAACACCAGUGGCGAAGGCGGUGCUCUGGGCCGGAACUGACGCUGAGGAGCGAAAGCAUGGGGAGCGAACAGG
Molecule: ribosomal RNA, 254 nt
Filed under: uncultured bacterium
Lineage: Bacteria
Description: partial 16S ribosomal RNA
Rfam family: Bacterial small subunit ribosomal RNA
Source: RNAcentral